This 253-nucleotide unclassified non-coding RNA is filed under the name uncultured Candidatus Altimarinota bacterium. RNAcentral describes it as "uncultured Candidatus Gracilibacteria bacterium contains 16S-23S intergenic spacer region". It matches the Rfam family "Bacterial small subunit ribosomal RNA", at positions 524 to 776 of the family's 1533-position model. Lineage: Bacteria; Candidatus Altimarinota. The record is from RNAcentral.
UACGGAGGGUGCAAGCGUUAUCCGGAAUCAUUGGGCGUAAAGAGUGCGAAGGCGGCAUGUUAAGUCAGAUGUUAAAGACUACAGCUCAACUGUAGGAAGGUAUCUGAAACUGGCAAGCUAGAGUCUUGUAGAGGUGUGUGGAAUUCUGUGUGUAGGGGUAAAAUCCGUAGAUACACAGAGGAACAUCAAAAGCGAAGGCAGCACACUGGACAAGUACUGACGCUGUUGCACGAAAGCGUAGGUAGCGAACAGG